GCAGGACACGGCUCCCGGUGCGCGGCCGGGGGUGUUACUUAGUCCCUGAUACGCCCGGGAGGAUGGGGCGAGGUGAGGGCAUCUUCCUCGCAGCUUGGUUCUCGCUCUUAACGUCACCGUCCUGGCUUGUACAGCUUGAAGCCCAAUAAGUUCUCUUGGAAGAGGUCGUUUCUGAGGAGCAGGCAGAGGCAGGGCUUCGCGCAUCGCUGGGCAGUCGGCUCCCUCCAGCCGUGCAGGCGGAUUUCUCCCGGCUUGUGCUCCGGCAGCUAUGCGCCAGGCAGGCUCAGCUCCGAGGCAGAGCCGCGGCCAAGUGGAGGGGAGCUGCGCCUUCCUCUGGGGUCAGGGAGCAGGGGAUGCCAGCUCAGCUCCAGGAUCUUGGACAGCAGUAUGUCUCAGCUAUGGCACUGCCACCCCUGGCAGGAGCAUCUUGCCYACCCUGCUACUCUGCCCCUUUUGGGGAGGGGAAGCUGGAUGGAGGUCUGCAACAGGUGGGGAUCAGGAAAGCAGAGACUCCAAUACAAUUUUUGCAACAUGA
RNAcentral lists this long non-coding RNA (535 nucleotides) under Dromaius novaehollandiae (emu). RNAcentral's name for it is "lncRNA (ENSDNVG00000016990.1)". Lineage: Eukaryota; Metazoa; Chordata; Aves; Casuariiformes; Dromaiidae. The record is from RNAcentral.